RNAcentral lists this long non-coding RNA (497 nucleotides) under Brachypodium distachyon (stiff brome). RNAcentral's name for it is "long non-coding RNA (BDIS_LNC003193)". The record is from RNAcentral. Lineage: Eukaryota; Viridiplantae; Streptophyta; Magnoliopsida; Poales; Poaceae.
GACUUGGGUGGGAUAACAAGCUGAAUACUGUUGAUGCUUCGAGCGAUUGGUGGAACACUCACAUUGAGGUAAUUUUUUAUUUGUACAUAUUUUUUUUAAGUUUGUUUCUGUUAUGCUAAUUCAUUGUUACUUGUAAAAAUUUCAGAAAUAUCCAGAUCAUGCAAGGUAUAGGAAUGGAGGACCGGCCAAUUUGGAUGAGAUGGAUAUCAUGUUUGAUGAUCAUCAUGUCACCGGCGCUACAUCCGCUAUUCCUGGAGAAGUAUCAUCUAAUGUUGUUGAUCUUGCUGCUGCUUAUACCGAUGAAGAUGAUGUACCUAUGCAAAAAUAGACCGGGAAGCGAAAAAAGUCCUCUCAUGAUGAUUUCGCAGCAAUGGAAGAGAAGAACCCAUUUUUUCGGAUGUACAAGAAGGCUACUGAUGCGAUAUGUGUUACUGCUGAGGCGACUACAACCAAUAGGACUCCUCCUUCGACCGCCCCUAGUAUGUUGGAGGCAAUGG